UGGGUUGUGGCUCAAGUGGUAGAGUGCUCAUCCAGCAUGUGUGAGACACUGGGUUCGAUGCUCAGCACCAUAU
Molecule: transfer RNA, 73 nt
Filed under: Marmota monax (woodchuck)
Lineage: Eukaryota; Metazoa; Chordata; Mammalia; Rodentia; Sciuridae
Description: tRNA.Ala
Source: RNAcentral